UGUUUGUUGACUGACUACAUUGCUUUAGUCAUUGUAUAUGUUGUUUCCCUGGUUCUGCUCAUUUUACUCUAUAUUAGAUCAUUUAAAUUUUUCCAUAAUUCUCCAAAUUCCUUAUUCAUCUUUUAUUUAGGCACAAUAACAUCCCAAUCCUUUGGGGAAAUGGUCAUUCAAGUUUCUCUACAUAAAUGUACACAAUGAUGCCUCAGAUUAGCUAAUUUCAGAGAGGCUUAUCACCAGGUUGACCACAGGUUGAUCAAAGGCAAUCGGCUAAAUUUUUUUUUUUUAAUUGUUUUUUGAUAAUGACUCGGCACUUAUUUGAUAGAGCAUUUCAUAUGUUAUGCCAUUUAAGUUUCAUAGCCUUGCAGUGUAGUUAGUCAGUAAACUUUUAUUAAGUAGCUACUGUGUGCUAAGUUAGUUAAAUUCUGGAGAUUUAAAAAAAAAAAAAAGGCAAAAGGCAACACUGAUCCCCAGGGAGCUUACAGUUUAAUAGGGGAGAUGACAAGCAAACAAAUAUGGACAAAGAAAUCCUACAGGAUAAAUGGAAAAUAAUUAAGUGAAGGAAGAUACUAGACUUAAGAGGGCUAAGGCUUCGUAUAGUAUAUUGGAUUCUAGUUGGUACUGGAAAGAAGGCAAUGGGAGAUGAGUAGGGGAUGAGCAAUGAUGAUGUUGAUGUUGAUGUGAUGCUUAGAAUUGGUGUAAUCUGACUGUUGGUUCUCUUCCUGUUCUAGGUGUCCCACUUUUUGAGUACUGCUAUUAUGAUCAUAUUUAUGAUAGAAAUUAUAUUAAAAUUAUAUACCUUCCACGAGGAACUCUUCCACUACAAGUUUGAGGUCCUGGAUGUUGUUGUUGUUAUUAUUUGUUUUUCUGUGAACGUCCUUAUUAUGUUCAAAGGACAUUCCUAUGAAGCCCUUCAAUUAUUGAUCAUUCUCCGACUUUGGCGAGUGGUUAAGAUUAUGAAUGGCAGAAUUAUUUCAUCCACGUCACGUUCUGAACAAAAACUCUUAAAGCUGAAAUUAAUAAAUUAUCAACUGACUAUGAGAAUUGAGCAACUUGAAUUGAACUGCAGUGAAAAGGUAAGAUGAAUGAGAGCCUCAAGAAAAAAUAUCAGGGCUUCUUAAAAAUUUUCCACUCAAGACCCCUUUUUGCUGGAGAAAUUUUUACAUGAUUCCAGAUAUGCAGGCAUAUAAAAUACACAUUCAAAUCAAACAUUUACUGAUAACAAAUCAUAAAUUUAUUUUAAAAAAUUUAUUGGUAUACAUGUAAUUUUACCAUUUAUUAAAGAUGAAAGAAAAUUUGCAUACUAAUGAGAUGGAUUUUUUUUUAUUUUUAUGAAAACAAAUGUCAGAAUAAUUGAUACCAUUAAGUAUUGCCAAAUUUUUUGCGAUCCCCACAUUUAUGACCUCAUAUAGGGUUGUGACCCUUCAAAAAGCUUUGAGACAGAUGAUUGAGGACUUCAACAAUAACUACAUUAUGUAGGUUAGAGAUACUCAGAAUGUUAAAUUGAUCUUUAUUUUUUGAAACAGGAGCAAGAAAUUUUAAGACUUAAAAAUCUCUUGAGAGAUCAUGGAUUUCCUGAGUAGCUGAACCAUGCAAUAUUUGCCUAAUCACAUGGAGAGGAAACUUCUUAUUCGACAGAAUGGCCUCUUGUACGUGUCAGUGAAAUAUCCUAGUUAUCUCCAGGAUCAUUUCUGGAAUGCCUUCAUUUAACUUGUUCUCAGGUCUGAUUAUGUCCAGAUGUUACAAACUAAGAACUGCCUUUUUAUCUUGGUGUGAUAAGAGACUUCCCUUGUAACAAAUGUUUCAUAAGGUAUUUUUUCUCAUUUCCCCAACUUUAACCUUGCUUGAAAUUGAUUGCUAUAACUGGAUGGGUUUAUAUAAAAUUUAGUUUUGUCAAAUGUAUGCUUUCAAAAUUAUUUCAUAUAUUUCAGCCCUGAAUUCCCUAGUUAUGGACGUUCAGAAAGACAAAAGCAAUAAACAAAUUGAGCAGAUCAGAAAGACAAAA
Long non-coding RNA from Antechinus flavipes (yellow-footed antechinus), 2002 nucleotides. RefSeq lists it as uncharacterized. The record is from RefSeq and is a predicted model, not a curated record. NCBI's taxonomy places the organism in Eukaryota, Metazoa, Chordata, Mammalia, Dasyuromorphia, Dasyuridae. The transcript has 2 exons.